ACACCUCUGUCUACAGGUCUUGCUGCUUUGAUGGGACUCAGGUUGGGUUAGUUUGAGAGGGAGGCUGGACCAGGUGAAGAGGAGGAGGGGAGGGGCUGGACCCACUCACUGCUCCUGUUCACCACUGAUCCCCAAUUGGUCCGGGAACGGGUGGUUCCUUCUCUCUACUCCUGCUCACCAACCAAUCAGCAUUUCAGCAACUGCAAAAUUACAGCAACGAGGGAAGUUUUUUUCUCUUUGUUUCUCUCCGUUUCAUCUCGAGAAAAACAGGUUCUCCCUCAAACCUGGACUCUCCCACCUGUGGUUGUGAAUGACUGCCUCCAAACAGCUGCAGAGGGUAUAGAUGAUCCAUUCUGCUUUGACCAAUAAUACAAGAGCAAAGCUGUGGGUGAGAUACAGAUCUUCUGGAUACAAAGCUUCAGCACAGCCAUCGAAUCUCUGUGGUAUUGAAAGAGUCUGGAGGAAAAGAAUGGGACCAGGACACAUGACAUGCCUGUGCAUCCAACAAAACGUCUUUUGAGCUCUUGAUUCUGUGUGUACAGAGAAUGUUUUGCAAAACAAAAAAAAAGAUUUACAGCAACUUAUUUUCAAAAAAAAAAUGGGGGCGGAUACCAGCCACUCCUCCCUUCCUCGUUUUUCAGUGUUUAUUGUAGUUGUCCAUGCUUGUCUGUUCAAAUAGGAAGACGCAUCUGUCUUUCUGUUUGAACUGUAAAAGAAAAACAUUGCUGUAUGAAAAAAAAAAAAGAAGAAAAAAAAAAGGACCUAAAAUUCAGACUAAGUGAACACUGUAUGCUGCUGGGAUGAGAGGCUUCUCCUGUGUACUGGUAGUGAUGUUGGCUGAUAGGCCCUGAUCCAAUCCUGUCAGUAGCCCUGUGCACUAUAGCUCCUGCUUGGCCACUAAACAAUUUGUUUACAUCCUGGAUGAGUUUAGCCUCACAGAAUUAACUUGUUUACAUCUACGGCUUUGAGUCCUCACACAGUUCAGAGUUAGCUACCAAACAUUCUGAUUCACGGCUUACCAACUGUUUAAAGUGGACUUUGACGCCUGCAGUUCAGGUUUUCUAUUGAGUGAGGAUAUCGAUCCAGUUGAAUGUUAGUGUUACUUUAAAGGUGAAACAAAAAAACUGGCUUAAAGCUAUUACAACAGAUAUAAGACUGUGACAAUCAUGUGAUCUUGUGUCAUAGGAAGUCCUCGAAGUCCCGUAUUUAUUUAUUUAUUUUUUAAAGAUUAACAAACAUAUAUAUAUAUAUAUAUAUAUAAAAAUUGUGUCUUUCUGUACACAUAAUAGCUAUACAAACAAAACUAUACUUCUUUUACUUUGCACAAAAUCUGCUAUAAAUUAAUGAAUUUCAUCAUCACUCGUUCAACUGAAGAAGAAGAAGACGAGGUUUUGGCAAAAUGCGUGGUAAAUGCAUUUAUUUAAAAAAACAAAACAGAACUAUCCAUUUAUUUCACUUUUACAGACUGUUAUGAUUGAUAAAAGCAACUCACAGUGCUAGAGAAAGCAAAUAUUUACUGCACUGGAAACAUAAAAAUGAGCAGCUUUCAAUGUGCGAAUAAACCAUUUUUGCUCCAACA
Gouania willdenowi (blunt-snouted clingfish) is the source of this 1579-nucleotide long non-coding RNA. Lineage: Eukaryota; Metazoa; Chordata; Actinopteri; Blenniiformes; Gobiesocidae. The record is from Ensembl.